UCUCCCUCCCUCUUUCGUUUUCUUUCGCCGCCGAGCCUUCUCCGACAAAAUUCGUCGCCAUCCGGCCAACCCAGGGGACGUUGUUCACCAUGGCAUGAUCCUCUCCUCCUCCUUUCCCUAUUCAUGUAAGUUUUUCACCUUGGGUAGCUUUGAUUUUGGAGAUUUGAAGAGAAAUUCCCAAAAAUGGGAAAUCGGAGAUUUGAUUCGAUCUCCGAUUUCCGGCCGGAUUCCUUUGGGGUUUUGGUUGCUGGUGAAGUGCUAAGCAUGUUUCCAACCUUGUUGCAGCUUGUUGUGGCCUAAGGAAGUGGGAUUGAUGAUGAACAGUGGUGAUGAACAGUAAUCAUCCGAUUUCUUGAUUUUGGAGUGAAAUUCUAGCUAUUUCUGCUUAGAAUUGGUUGUUGUUGCAGGUAUUUAAAUUGUUGGGCUUGUUGUGGAGAUUGUGUAGGUGAGAUUUGGUGGCCGGUUUUGGGUGUUGGAGUGGAGGACGUACUGAACCCUCAAGCGAGGAGGACACGGGCAGGCAGCAGGAUUAGCUGCGAGAUUCACCGAAAUGUGUUUACAGAAACGAGUUGGCAAGGAGGCUAUUUUGGGCGCAUGCGUACAUUACCUAGUCGGUAGUCCC
Long non-coding RNA from Rosa chinensis, 622 nucleotides. RefSeq lists it as uncharacterized. The transcript is spliced from 3 exons. Lineage: Eukaryota; Viridiplantae; Streptophyta; Magnoliopsida; Rosales; Rosaceae. The record is from RefSeq and is a predicted model, not a curated record.